GACGAACGCUGGCGGCGUGCUUAACACAUGCAAGUCGAACGGAAAGGCCCCUUUGGGGGUACUCGAGUGGCGAACGGGUGAGUAACACGUGAGUAACCUGCCCUUGACUUCGGGACAACUUCAGGAAACUGGGGCUAAUACCGGAUAGGAAUCCUUUCUGCAUGGUUGGGGUUGGAAAGCUUCGGCGGUUUUGUAUGGACUCGCUGCUUAUCACCUUGUUGGUUGGGUAGUGGCUUACCAAGGCUUUGACGGGUAGCCGGCCUGGGAGGGCGACCGGCCACAUUGGGACUGGGGUACGGCCCAGACACCUGCGGGAGGCAGCAGGGGGGAAUCUUGCACAAUGGGCGGAAGCCUGAUGCAGCAACGCCGCGCGCGGGAUGACGGCCUUCGGGUUGUAAACCGCUUGCAGCAGGGGCGAAGCUUGUGGUGACGGUACCUGGAGAAGAAGCACCGGCUAACUACGUG
This 465-nucleotide ribosomal RNA is filed under the name uncultured bacterium. RNAcentral's name for it is "partial 16S ribosomal RNA". It matches the Rfam family "Bacterial small subunit ribosomal RNA", at positions 28 to 507 of the family's 1533-position model. The record is from RNAcentral.